CUGUUUAGGCUAUCCAUUUAAGCGAGGAAAUGUUUAUAAUUAGAUUUCCUUUUUCUUAAUUUCUUUAUAUUUUUCUUUCUCGCCGAAAAAACCCCCUGCGCGCCUCUCUUCUCCCUCACUCCCAAGCCCUAGGUGCCGACGCCGAGCCCUAACUGCCGGCCGGCGGUUUCUUCCUCGCUGAAGUUUUAAACUCCUCGGCCACCUCCUUUUCUGCUUUCUCCUCAUCUCCCUCGUGCGCACACCCUGCUCUCCUCCUUGCCCUAAUCGCCGACGCCCCCUCCUCACUGCCGUCGUGACGCCAAGCGCCACUGCACAGAGCCGGCGCCACCGCCGGCCACCCCGUACCCUAGCCGAGCCCUUGCUCACUUGCAGUGCCCUCUCGCCACUGUCUUGUGCCCCAGCGCCGGCCGCCGUUACCUGUGCCCUUACGCCGGCCUCAUCUUCACUCUCUUCCCGAGCCUUUCUUUCUUCUUCUACCCUCUGCCCCAACGUCCACUGCCGGCGCUAAGGUCCAGCAACCUUCUGCCGUGCUUUAGACUCCACUGGCGGGUUUUUCUUCUUCGCCACCAGUCGCCGGCAGAGAGGAAACAGAGGGUGACGAGUAGCAGCCAACAGCCCUUAACGGCAGCCCUCAUUCCAGCAUUCCUUUGUUCCAGCAGCAAUCAACCUAAAUGGGGCAGUAACUCUUUAAUUCCAGCAUCUUCUUGUUCUUGAAUAAGCUGUGGAACUUGAGGACUUUGACGCGAGACGAGUAUCUCAGAGUCAGAUUGGACCUUUCUAUUUUCGGAGG
Long non-coding RNA from Zingiber officinale, 790 nucleotides. RefSeq lists it as uncharacterized. The record is from RefSeq and is a predicted model, not a curated record. Lineage: Eukaryota; Viridiplantae; Streptophyta; Magnoliopsida; Zingiberales; Zingiberaceae. The transcript is spliced from 3 exons.